Molecule: non-coding RNA, 81 nt
Filed under: Echinops telfairi (small Madagascar hedgehog)
Lineage: Eukaryota; Metazoa; Chordata; Mammalia; Afrosoricida; Tenrecidae
Source: RNAcentral
AUGUUGCUUGACGGGAGAGACAGUAAGCACUUCCCCUGACAAGGAUGGAAAGAGGCCCUUGGGCAUUACCACCUACUUUGU